Long non-coding RNA from Oncorhynchus masou masou (cherry salmon), 2062 nucleotides. RefSeq lists it as uncharacterized. The transcript is spliced from 2 exons. Lineage: Eukaryota; Metazoa; Chordata; Actinopteri; Salmoniformes; Salmonidae. The record is from RefSeq and is a predicted model, not a curated record.
CUUGUCUUCCCACACACCUGUUUUCAAUCCCAUUCAUUACCUGUUGUGUAUUUAACCCUCUGUUUCCCCUCAUGUCUUUGUCAGAGAUGGUUUUAUUGUCAGUAUAGUGUGAUUGUUGCAUAGGUGCGCGUCGGGUCCUCGUACCCAUGUUUGGUUUGUUUGUUCAUUUAUUGUUAUGGAGCAUACUCGUGAAUCUUUAUUAAAAGACUCCAUUUUACACUCAGUUUGACUCUCAUGCGCCUGACUUCCCUGUCACCUAUAAAAGAUACCUGUCCACAACCUCAAACAGUCACACUCCAAACUCCACUAUGGCCAAGACCAAAGAGCUGUCAAAGGACACCAGAAACAAAAUUGUAGACCUGCACCAGGCUGGGAAGACUGAAUCUGCAAUAGAUGCAGCACCAGUCCCAGCACCAGACCACCAGACGAGGCGCAGAGGAGAGACCAAAGAUCACACCUUCACCCUAGAGCUAGCAUGCCACAGGGAAGUACCACUAUUGACCUCUGGGCCUAAGUCUCCCUUGUGAUUCUGCUUGCUCCUCAGGUUGUCUUUCUUCCCCUCUACAGAUCCCAGCCCAACAACAGUUCCCGGCUCUUGGUUCCCAGUUCCUGCUCUCUCCCAGGCCCACAGUCCCAGCACCAGACCCAGCACCAAACGCUGGUUUUCCAGCCCUGGUCCCAACACAAUUUCCAACCCGGCCCCAACACCAACCCAGGUUUUCCCGGUCCCAGCCCCAACACCAGCACCAACCCUGGACAAAACACCGACCAGACACAACUGCCAUCUUCAUCCAGCAAAUGCCAGCUCAGACCGCCCACUUAACACAGUGACAUACACUCCACCAACCACUCCACCAGACCAACCAUGACUGACUGACCGACUGAUUGACAAAUUGACACUGAUGAUUAUUACGUUAUUUGAACAACUGCAUUUGGUUAUUUAUUUUUAUUUAUUUAUUUUGGUAAUUGUUUGUUGAUUUUUGAUUUUAUUAACUUAAGUUGGAUUAAUCAUUUAUUGUUUUAAUUGUUUAUUAUUUUUGAAGAUUAACUAAAGUUUAUUUUAACAUUUGAACAUGUAUUGACUUGGAAUAACCAAAUAAACAUUCCUUAAAAUUAAACUAUGCCAAUACAAUACUUAUAGCAUAAGCCUUCACUUUGGUGGUCUAGUUUUACGCUAACACAGUGGUAUUAGAAAACUCCUGGCUUACAGGCCAAAUCAGGAUUGAAAGUCACAAUAUGAUGUUGCAAGCCACAAGUGAUGAGUAAUUCCUAUUGGAAUCCAGCAAGAGUGAGGAUUUCAAACAAUUUGAAUUUUUUGUCACCCGUAUCCUGCAUUCAGAAUGAAUGAGUCAGUGUUAGGAAAGGUGAACAGAAGACUACCGAAUAUAAUGUGAAAUAUAUAUUCACACACAUUGUGGACAUUUUAACAAGGAGCUGCCAUAAAGUAGUGGGGAGCCAUCCACCGAAGGCAACCAAUGUGAAAUAUGACUGAUUGGCGUGGUUUUGAUGGGACUGUUUUACUUUCCACGGGGUAAAAUAAUAACUCUGGUUAUUAACACCAACACUUUUACACCACUGAGGGUUAGUUUCACUCUUACAGGGUGAAUGUAACUCUUGAAUCGACACUAGACAUUUUACACUGAAAAAAAAACACUGGCCAAUUUGCUGUGCAGGAAAUAUUUCUGAAUAUUUAUAACUCAAUAACCAAACCAAUUAAACCACAUGUUUGUGUUGCUUUUAGUGAUGUUUUCUUUUGUCAUUUCGUGACAGAGAGCUGAGGUCAUUCAGAACAUCAUAUGUCAUGUGAGGUGUUUAUAAUGGAUGUUAUUAAGUAUUUAGUACCACUAGCCUGGGUUUUUCAAUUAUCUUUAUUCUUCUUUCAUAUUUGAUGUAGUUAUGUAUAAACAUGAUGAGGUUAUAACCCAUUAAUAUAUUAGCUUUUUCAAUUAUAUAAAAAUAUGUCUGCCUAUAUUAUGUCAAAGCAAACAUUGCCUGUUGAUGUGGUAGAGCUAUUUUUCUCCACUCUAAUUAUACCCCACAUAAAUGUUGAUUGGUUAACACA